RNAcentral lists this ribosomal RNA (406 nucleotides) under uncultured bacterium. RNAcentral's name for it is "partial 16S ribosomal RNA". It matches the Rfam family "Bacterial small subunit ribosomal RNA", at positions 29 to 526 of the family's 1533-position model. The record is from RNAcentral.
AUUGAACGCUGGCGGCAGGCCUAACACAUGCAAGUCGAGCGAGCGGCGGACGGGUGAGUAAUGUCUGGGAAACUGCCUGAUGGAGGGGGAUAACUACUGGAAACGGUAGCUAAUACCGCAUACCAUCAGAUGUGCCCAGAUGGGAUUAGCUAGUAGGUGGGGUAACGGCUCACCUAGGCGACGAUCCCUAGCUGGUCUGAGAGGAUGACCAGCCACACUGGAACUGAGACACGGUCCAGACUCCUACGAGAGGCGGCAGGGGGGAAUAUUGAAGAAUGGGCGAAGGCCUGAUGCAGCCAUGCCGCGUGGGUGAAGAAGGCCUUCGGGUUGUAAAGCACUUUCAGCGGGGAGGCGUUACCCGCAGAAGAAGCACCGGCUAACUCCGUGCCAGCAGCCGCGGUAAUUC